CAGCCGUGUAGAAAUCACAGAGCGAAUAAUUCUUUCGCCUUUUACUAAAGAAUUCCGUGUGAUUGCUACUUUAACGGCAUACGCAAAUUUUUUCAAGGAUCUUUCCN
RNAcentral lists this small nuclear RNA (107 nucleotides) under Cicer arietinum (chickpea). Its description in RNAcentral is "U5 spliceosomal RNA". It matches the Rfam family "U5 spliceosomal RNA". Rfam says of the family: U5 RNA is a component of both types of known spliceosome. The precise function of this molecule is unknown, though it is known that the 5' loop is required for splice site selection and p220 binding, and that both the 3' stem-loop and the Sm site are important for Sm protein binding and cap methylation. The record is from Rfam by way of RNAcentral. Lineage: Eukaryota; Viridiplantae; Streptophyta; Magnoliopsida; Fabales; Fabaceae.